RNAcentral lists this ribosomal RNA (560 nucleotides) under Acruroperla atra. RNAcentral describes it as "partial 16S ribosomal RNA". It matches the Rfam family "Bacterial large subunit ribosomal RNA", at positions 1796 to 2622 of the family's 2925-position model. Lineage: Eukaryota; Metazoa; Arthropoda; Insecta; Plecoptera; Austroperlidae. The record is from RNAcentral.
UCGCCUGUUUAUCAAAAACAUGUCCUCUUGAAUAAAAAUUGGAGGUCUGACCUGCCCACUGAGAAGAUCUUGAAGGGCCGCGGUAUUUUGACCGUGCAAAGGUAGCAUAAUCAUUAGUCUUUUAAUUGAAGGCUAGAAUGAAUGGUUGGACGAGGCAUUGACUGUCUCAAUAUAAAUGAAAUUAGAAUUUACCUUUUGAGUGAAAAGGCUUAACUAUGUUUAAAGGACGAGAAGACCCUAUAGAGCUUUAUAAUUAAUUUCAUGUAAUUUAUUUAGUAGUGGUUUUAUUACAUUUAAGUAAUUAUUAUGUUGGGGUGACAGGAAGAUAUAAUAAACUCUUUCUAUUGAUAAGACAUUUAUGUAUGAGUUAUUGAUCCAUUAUUAGUGAUUAUAAGUCUAAGUUACCUUAGGGAUAACAGCGUAAUCUUCUUUGAGAGUUCUUAUCGACAAGAAGGGUUGCGACCUCGAUGUUGGAUUAAGGGUAAUUUUGGGUGUAGAUGUUCAAAAUUUAGGUCUGUUCGACCUUUAAAUCCUUACAUGAUCUGAGUUCAAACCGGAGA